GACGGGAUGGCCGAGUGGUUAAGGCGGCAGUUUAGAACUGAUUCCAGAGAUUUAGCUGCUUCACUUUGUGAGUGUGAGUUCAAAUCUCACUUCUGUUG
Molecule: transfer RNA, 98 nt
Filed under: Melampsora larici-populina 98AG31
Lineage: Eukaryota; Fungi; Basidiomycota; Pucciniomycetes; Pucciniales; Melampsoraceae
Description: tRNA-Ser for anticodon AGA
Rfam family: tRNA
About the family: Transfer RNA (tRNA) molecules are approximately 80 nucleotides in length. Their secondary structure includes four short double-helical elements and three loops (D, anti-codon, and T loops).
Source: Rfam by way of RNAcentral